GCUCAUUCCAAAUUUCCCAAGAGAUAGGAAUAAGGGAAACAAGCGGCCUUCGAGAUUGCGACCUCCCUUAAGUGUUGCUGCGCCACCACUCCUUGACGGAAACCAUGCCUCCCUAGUCCGUAGGAUGAACAUCAUGUAAACCAAGCCAUGUUUUGAUCAUUGCCCAAACUCUGGCUGCAUAUUCUGUAUAAAAGGAUCAAGUAGACAUGGAAGUAUGCUCAUAUAUUGUUGAAUCCUAUAAAACAUUUAAAAGGUAAUCCGCCGCAUUUUAAUAGCACUCUGUUUCUUAAAUAAGUGACAUUUUACUUGCCAGUUUGCAAGGUACAAAUUGAAACAUGAACUAUAGUAAAAACAUAAUCAUAAAGUCAUAAAUAAAUUUAUAGAAUCCCUCUAUCAAUAUUUCUGUAAAAUUUACUGUGUUUAAUGCUACAAAGAAUAGCAACUUGAAUUUCCACGAGGAGAAGUAUAUAUAGUUAUAUACACAUGCAGGUCUGCGCUUUCAAAUUUAGCAAAGCAUGAGCCAAAAUAACUUACGGAGUGGUGCGUUUUUGUUGCUUGUUGGUGUUCUAUGUGUCCCGACCACACUGGCGCUCAAUUCCUGCAGGAGUGCUGAAGACCGAGAGGAGGCGAUUCUGCCAAGCAUAACCUACUGCCCAAGCAGAUGUCAUUUAUUUAUGGAGAAGAGGGUAUUACAUACAAUUUUUUUGCGAGGCAGUUCAAUUUAAUGGGAAAAAUAUACCCUAGACAAGAUGUUGCAAUUGCAAACGCCUCACAUAAUAAAUUAUGUUCUAUAAUGAGAACACAAUCCAAUCCUUGAUGAGAAGACAUUUUUUCAAUGAUUCCCUUGUACCAUCAACAAAUCAAUUUGAAGAACAGAAAAAGUAUAUUAUUGUGAGAGUGCAUAUUGAAAGAAAAACGUGUACGAACUGGAUGAAAUAAUUACCCAUUUAAAUGGACUAAGAAAUAAGCAUAGAGGACUCUGGAGAUUGGAGUCAGCAUACCGAAGAGGAAAUGCAGGAAAUGGAAUACCCCACUGGCCUCACCGAAUAAUAAGUCCCUCGGUUCAUUGAUUCAUCACCUUGAGGUAAAUAUCGUAGCACCGCCUGCUCCUCUUCUUUGAAUCAUUAUUGUUUGUAAACAUAGUCUUUAGCCAUAGUCUGUAGUACUAUGCCAGCCCAUUGAGACCAACACGACACAUAGUCAAAUGUUAUAGUACGCAACUGAGGAUACAUGAGGAAAAUGAAAGGACUUUGCACUUGUGCAUUGGCAAAAAGCUUCCAAGGCAUAAGCCACAAAACCAUGAUAUAUAGAAAGGUGUGACAACUCUCGAGUUUAGUACACCGAAUUUUGAAAAACACUGAAAAAACAUGAUAAAACAAAAUCCAAAAAAUCUAAAAUUUUGAGACAAAAAUAAUUAUCAAAUGCUUGAGCUUCAUGCAAAAUUUGAGCGAAAAAUAACAUCCGAGGAACUCUCACCAUAAAAAACAAAAUCACUGCUCAAAGAGUGCAUAAAACUUUUAAGCAGGACGUAUUGAUCUUUCAUGUUACUUUACCUGGAAAGGGUAAGAACAAACGCACCGCAAACGCAAGAAAAGCAGUCCACAGCCCAUAUUCACUCCUAAAUUAGGAAUCGACAUGAUAGUAUAAGUAGGCCAAAAGUAAGUGUUCUUGUCUCAAAAAGAAUAAACAUCCAGUAGCUAUAGCAAGGAAAGGGGAAAAGGUAUCAUCAGAUAAUUCUUU
RNAcentral lists this long non-coding RNA (1740 nucleotides) under Triticum aestivum (bread wheat). RNAcentral describes it as "long non-coding RNA (TAES_LNC016697)". The record is from RNAcentral. Lineage: Eukaryota; Viridiplantae; Streptophyta; Magnoliopsida; Poales; Poaceae.